Non-coding RNA from Pseudonaja textilis, 1725 nucleotides. The record is from RefSeq and is a predicted model, not a curated record. NCBI's taxonomy places the organism in Eukaryota, Metazoa, Chordata, Lepidosauria, Squamata, Elapidae.
GGCCCUAUAGAAAACAGAAGGACCUCACGUAUUAAAACCAUCUGAUUACAGAAGAAGAUUUGCAAAGUGCAAGCCCUAAAACAGCAUCUUCUCUUUUGAUCUGUCCCAUCAACAGCAACCCAUCUGUCAGAAACAUUAACAAACCCAUCUAUUUUAGAUUAUGAGUGGUUAGGGGACAGUUUCACACAAACUAACUAAUAAUAAAGGACUGGGAAGUUAUUAAAAAUUAAACUAGGGUGGCAUCUAAUUGGUGUUAUACAUACAGUAUGUAUUCUGAUAAGAUUCAAUGGUAAAGAAGUAUGAAUAAAUCAUGCUAGCCGAAUAUACUAAGUGGCUCAUUAUCUUUGUAAAAGGAACAAGAUAAUUUUGACAGGACUUGGUAGUAUUGUUGACCCAAAGCACAUUUAUUUUCCUUGGAUUGGCCCCAAGGCAAACAGCAGAAGCAAUAGGUUAGGUUAAUACGGUUAUUGCAAAAGCCAAAAUUCAGAGGCAUGCAGAACAGGCCAGAUUGUAUGUACAGGAUAUGAUCAUUUCUAUAAGUUACAGGUAAGGUUCCAUUUGCCAAAAAAGAAAGGUUUUUCUUUAUUGUACCUUUUAAAAUAAACUGUAGUUCAAAACAGAUCAUACAGGUUAUGUCACAUUUACCUGCAAAUUUUUUUUUAAUAAAAAAAUUAUACGACAUGGCUGAUAUUAGCAGAGAUCAAUGCUCAAGGUAUCAGUUGGCUACUACAUGCACACAGCCCUAUAUUUGGAUCCUACUAUUUAUAAUUUAAUUCUGUAAUUAUAAUUCUGUAAUAAUGCUACAUUUUCCCACUGCAAAUGUGAAAAACGUUUUUGAAAGAUGAUAAAAUGUGGGCUUUCUUCAACUAAUCCAAAUUAUUCAUAAUAUUUUUCUGAUUCAUUAAUAGAAUACUAGGUUAUGUUGCACUUAAUAAAUGCUCAGAAACAAAAUUCUUAUUACAAAACUGAAUGUGGCCAUAAAUCCAUUUUUUUAUUAUCUGCCUUAUAUAUGUGCAUUUACACAUAAAGUGUAGUCAAAGAUGACGAAACCAAAACCCUACAGUUAUUUUAAUGGUCCUCCAUCAUAAAGUAUUCAGAUUUAUGUUUGUAUAUUUAUAUUUUAUUCAGCUUAAAAUAAAAAUAUUUUUCUCCAAGAAUAAUACCACAGCAAAAUAAUUCAAGAACUAUUUGGACCCAAUUAUAAAUGACACGAAAUAAAAGGAAACCAUUUGCAAGUGGAAGAGACUUUCAUUAAUAUGAAAAGUAUCGGAAUUGAGGGAUCUGGUGCUGCAUUACACUGCAAAGAGUUUUCUAAGAUUUAGGCAUUAUAUUCUCAGAGAAUGAGUGGAUGCUAUGACAAGAACACUUUGCAAAUACACCCUGGUGUAUUUCUAUGGAUUGCAUUUGACAAUUAUAUUAAAUCUCAAAGUUACCUUAUAAUUUAAUGAACAGAUUCUUCUGAAAAACACAAACACCCUUAAAAUGAUGUAUUUAGUGUUUCCAUUUUACAAAAUACAUGUUUAUGAAACCAUUUUAAUAAAAUAUUUUUGAGAAUCUCAAGAGUUCUUCCUUCCUUCCAAAUCUGAAGGCAUAUUUUUUGGUUUCAUUUUGAAACACUACUGCAAGGUGAUCGCAGCAAGCCAUGUUGACUACCUCACGAAAGGAACUGCUUUUAAAACCAGAAUGUCAUGAAUCUAACCUAAUAAUUCAAAUGCUAUAUAUACA